CUCGCCGGAAGACCAAGGGUUCCUGUCCAACGUUAAUCGGGGCAGGGUGAGUCGACCCCUAAGGCGAGGCCGAAAGGCGUAGUCGAUGGGAAACAGGUUAAUAUUCCUGUACUUGGUGUUACUGCGAAGGGGGGACGGAGAAGGCUAUGUUGGCCGGGCGACGGUUGUCCCGGUUUAAGCGUGUAGGCUGGUUUUCCAGGCAAAUCCGGAAAAUCAAGGCUGAGGCGUGAUGACGAGGCACUACGGUGCUGAAGCAACAAAUGCCCUGCUUCCAGGAAAAGCCUCUAAGCAUCAGGUAACAUCAAAUCGUACCCCAAACCGACACAGGUGGUCAGGUAGAGAAUACCAAGGCGCUUGAGAGAACUCGGGUGAAGGAACUAGGCAAAAUGGUGCCGUAACUUCGGGAGAAGG
Molecule: ribosomal RNA, 411 nt
Filed under: Escherichia coli
Lineage: Bacteria; Pseudomonadati; Pseudomonadota; Gammaproteobacteria; Enterobacterales; Enterobacteriaceae
Description: partial 23S ribosomal RNA
Rfam family: Bacterial large subunit ribosomal RNA
Source: RNAcentral